This 83-nucleotide transfer RNA is filed under the name Bacteroidales bacterium. RNAcentral describes it as "tRNA-Ser". It matches the Rfam family "tRNA". Rfam says of the family: Transfer RNA (tRNA) molecules are approximately 80 nucleotides in length. Their secondary structure includes four short double-helical elements and three loops (D, anti-codon, and T loops). Lineage: Bacteria; Pseudomonadati; Bacteroidota; Bacteroidia; Bacteroidales. The record is from RNAcentral.
AGGAAUGGCAGAGUGGUCGAAUGCGGCGGUCUUGAAAACCGUUGUACCGCAAGGUACCGGGGGUUCGAAUCCCUCUUCCUCCG